CUUCAACGACCCCAACCACAAAGGACGAUCUGAAUCCCGGUCUUGGCCAUAGGUAGCCAACAGCGCCUGGGCUUC
This 75-nucleotide antisense RNA is filed under the name Nocardia amikacinitolerans. Its description in RNAcentral is "Nocardia sp. W9988 ASpks TB sRNA". It matches the Rfam family "ASpks TB sRNA". Lineage: Bacteria; Bacillati; Actinomycetota; Actinomycetes; Mycobacteriales; Nocardiaceae. The record is from Rfam by way of RNAcentral.